This 77-nucleotide transfer RNA is filed under the name Anaerolineae bacterium. RNAcentral describes it as "tRNA-Trp". It matches the Rfam family "tRNA". Rfam says of the family: Transfer RNA (tRNA) molecules are approximately 80 nucleotides in length. Lineage: Bacteria; Bacillati; Chloroflexota; Anaerolineae. The record is from RNAcentral.
AGGGGGUUAGCUCAAGUUGGCAGAGCAACGGUCUCCAAAACCGUAGGUUACAGGUUCGAGUCCUGUACCCCCUGCCU